This is a small nuclear RNA of Gorilla gorilla gorilla (western lowland gorilla), 127 nucleotides long. Its record names the gene U4. It matches the Rfam family "U4 spliceosomal RNA". From Rfam's summary of the family: U4 small nuclear RNA (U4 snRNA) is a component of the major U2-dependent spliceosome. The record is from Ensembl. Lineage: Eukaryota; Metazoa; Chordata; Mammalia; Primates; Hominidae.
AGCUUUGCGUGUGGCACUAUCAUAGCCAAUGAGGUUUAUCCGGGGCAUGAUUAUUGCUAAUUGAAAACAAAAUGGAAGACAGGUGACUUUUCCCCUCCCUUGAAUAAACACUUCUUCCACACAUGGA